RNAcentral lists this unclassified non-coding RNA (374 nucleotides) under Hevea brasiliensis (rubber tree). The record is from RNAcentral. Lineage: Eukaryota; Viridiplantae; Streptophyta; Magnoliopsida; Malpighiales; Euphorbiaceae.
AGAAAAACAUAUAUCCCUUCAAAUUUUCUAUAAUUGAGAUGCCAUAUGAGUCUUACAAUGGAAUCAACGUAAGGCUUAGGUAGGAGGAUAUCCUUUAAAUUUUUCUGGUUUGGUUAUUUAAUUGAGAUGGUUGUCCAAUUGCCCCUACCCCCUAAUUUUUACUCUAAAUCGAUUUUCAAUUAGUGCUGGCUAUGCUUUUGUAAAUGUUACAAGUUUUGCUGGGUUAUAUAAAACUAUUGAAUCUUCAUUGUUUCCUUUUUUUAUUUCCGCUUUUCCUCCAAGUUUAUUCAUGUUUUUCUGUUCAUAUACUUGGUUGAAUUGCAAAACUCUCUCUCCCACCUCCCCCACUGAUACACUUGUAUUAUAUAGAUAUU